RNAcentral lists this ribosomal RNA (253 nucleotides) under uncultured bacterium. Its description in RNAcentral is "partial 16S ribosomal RNA". It matches the Rfam family "Bacterial small subunit ribosomal RNA", at positions 524 to 776 of the family's 1533-position model. The record is from RNAcentral.
GACAGAGGUGCCGAGCGUUAGGCGGAAUCACUGGGCUUAAAGGGUGCGUAGGCGGUGCAGCAAGUCGGGAGUGAAAUCCCACAGCUCAACUGUGGAAUUGCUUUCGAUACUGCUGUGCUUGAGUGAGACAGAGGUAAGCGGAACUUAGGGUGGAGCGGUGAAAUGCUUAGAUAUCGUCAAGAACACCGAUAGUGUAGACAGCUUACUAGGCUACAACUGACGCUGAGGCACGAAAGUGUGGGGAUCAAACAGG